Molecule: ribosomal RNA, 1217 nt
Filed under: uncultured Rhizaria
Lineage: Eukaryota
Description: SSU rRNA
Rfam family: Eukaryotic small subunit ribosomal RNA
Source: RNAcentral
CGGUAAUUCCAGCUCCAAUAGCGUAUACUAAAGUUGUUGCAGUUAAAAAGCUCGUAGUUGGAUUUCUGCGGGGACGGAGCGGCCGGACGCAACUUGCGUCUCGAGCUAGCGCUUUCCCCGCAUCCUGCCGCGAACCGUGCUACCAUUAGUUUGGUGGCGCUGGGGAUCGGCUCGAUUACUUUGAGAAAAAUAGAGUGUUCAAAGCAGGCCACACGCCUUGAAUAAGUUAGCAUGGAAUAAUGACUAAGGACUUCGGUUCUAUUUUGUUGGUGUUCGGGACUGAAGUAAUGAUUGAUAGGGACAGUUGGGGCGGUCUGUAUUCCAAAGCGAGAGGUGAAAUUCUUAGACCUUCGGAAGACAAACAGCUGCGAAAGCGUUCCGCAAGGAUGUUCCCUUUGAUCAAGAACGAAAGUUGGGGGAUCGAAGACGAUCAGAUACCGUCGUAGUCUCAACUAUAAACUAUACCAGCUAGGGAUCGGUCAACGUUUAAUUAUUCGACUUGAUCGGCACCUUAUGAGAAAUCAAAGCAUCUGGGUUCCGGGGGGAGUAUGGUCGCAAGGCCGAAACUUAAAGGAAUUGACGGAAGGGCACCACCAGCCGUGGAGCCUGUGGCUUAAUUUGACUCAACACGGGAAAACUUACCAGGUCCAGACAUAGUAAGGAUUGACAGAUUGAUAGCUCUUUCUUGAUUCUGUGGGUGGUGGUGCAUGGCCGUUCUUAGUUGGUGGAGUGAUUUGUCUGGUUAAUUCCGUUAACGAACGAGACCCCAGCCUGCUAAAUAGCGCGGCUGAGCUUUGCUCGGUGCGAGCUUCUUAGAGGGACUAUGAUGCGCGAUAGCACAUGGAAGUUUGGGGCAAUACCAGGUCUGUGAUGCCCUUAGAUGUUCUGGUCCACACACGGGCUACACUGGCGCCUGCAACGAGCAUAUCAGCUGGCCCGAGAGGGUCUUGGCUAAUCUUUUGAACCGGCGCCGUGCUUGGGAUUGACCUUUGCAAUUGUUGGUCAUGCAACGAGGAAUGCCUUGUAAACGCGAGUCAUCAGCUCGCAUUGAAUACGUCCCUGCCCUUUGUACACACCGCCCGUCGCUCCUACCGAUGUAUGUUCCGAUGAAAUUUUCGGAGAGCGCCAGAGAACGGGGCUCUGCCUUGCAGAUCUGGAGGCUCAAAGUCACUUAAAUCUGAACAUUUCGAGGAAGGAGAAGUCGUAACAAGGUAACC